RNAcentral lists this unclassified non-coding RNA (1300 nucleotides) under Bombus terrestris (buff-tailed bumblebee). RNAcentral describes it as "misc RNA ENSBTSG00005032899.1". The record is from RNAcentral. Lineage: Eukaryota; Metazoa; Arthropoda; Insecta; Hymenoptera; Apidae.
UUUGUUCAAUAUUUUCAAAUCCCGAUAGUUUUGAUUAAAUUCAAUCAAAUAAUCACGUAACGUAGUCUUUUAUUUUUCUUUUAUUAUAUAUGUGUUCUUUUUGAACACUGGUUUUCGUAUAAGAGUCAGUGCAUUUCUCAAGAGGAUGGGGCCUUUCCAGGAGCUCAAGACCGCUUUUCAGAACCUCUAUUUCCACCGUUGGAUUUUCAACGGUUCCUGUCUGAUGUUAGUCUUUCUGAUGAUAUUCACUGGGGUAGCGUAGCAUCCAUGGUAACGUCCUCUGGUUCUCCGCUUCGAACGUUUCAGCGGGCAUUGCGCCCGAAGAAAAAAGAGACUAUAAGCCGAAGAGUCCCGGCAAAAUGUCAUAGAAGAGGGCAACCACCAAUGACUCCCCAUCCUCUGUAUCACCCAGAGUAUGAAAAGUCAUUCUUGUUACUACUUUGUCACUAUGCUCGCUUUUAGUAUUUGCAGUAGUAGUAGUAGUAGUUUUUUUGGCCGAUGUGUAUAUUGUCUCAUCAUCCCACUAGGCAAAUCGCGGUUUUUUUAUUAAUGUCGCGAGAGGAUGACUACGGUUUGAAUUAGAGUUGCGAUAAAAUGAUAAUCGUGUUUGCCUUAGAAUUGCGAAUUAUGAUAUCGCGAUUAUCUUUUGCAAUUUUUAUAAUGAAUUUUUAGAACUUCUUAGAGAAUUAUAUGUAUCAGAAUUUAUCCAGCUUUAUAUUGUUUAAAAUUAGAUUGUAAAAAUUUUAGUUCUUAAUUAAUUAUAUAGUAUUAUAAGUUGGCAUAUCAGAAUAUCUGAAGUAGCUUUUUUAUAUAAUAAAUAGUAAUUUCCAUUGAAUUCAGUUUAAGAGUUAGCAUUGGGAUAAUGAGUGAUCGCGUUUUGUGAAGUAGAGUUGCAUUUACAAAAUGCCCAAAAUCCUCCGACUGUAUUUGUCGGACACUGUUCCUGGGUCGCUAGAUAUAGCUAGAAGAGCUGUAUAAAUGUGAUCGUUCAUCAGCAAUCUUUUAAAUGGCUGCACUGGGAUCUCUCGCCAUUAGUGUUGCGUACUGAUUCAAUACGAGUGUGUAGAUUAAUAUUUGUUAGCGUUACGUAUCAAAUAUCGGGAGUUUUCAGACAUUUUUCUAUUUUUUUUUCUAUUUUUUUCUCUUUUUGGAAAUGAUAGAUUAAUUGAUACUGCAGAUAUAAUGGAGCACUCUUCGCGCUUGAUUUUGAGAAUUUUCUGUUUCACAGAUAUUAGUAAUAAAUUAGCGUUGUGAAACAAGAAGAAUAUCACGUUUCACUCACUUUGUUGAUCGGAUUUAU